AAUAACAAAAAAACGUCCUCUAGAAAAAGAACCGUAAGUAAAAAAGAUUGUAAAAAAUAUAAAUAUACGUAUAUAUAUUUACAUAUGUGUUUUUAAAUAGACAAAAGUUAUAUUUAUAUAUAUGUGCAUAUAUAUUUUUUUUUUAAGUUAAUAACUAUUCCUGAGUUCAAAAAAUUAAAAAAAAAAAAUGAGCUAAAUAUAUUUUCAAGUCCAAAUAAAAUAAAUGAAGAGUUAAAUAAAGAACAUAAUUUUUCUGAUUCUGUUCUAAGUUCUUAUAAAUUAUUUUUAACUGAAAAGCAAUAUGAAAAUAAAAUAGAAAAAGAACAGGUAUGCCUUUUUCUUAUAACUUUCAUUUUUCUUUUUUUUUUGCAUGAUAUCUUACCUAAAUUUAUAACUACAUAUGUACUUUAUAUAUAUAUAUUGACAUACUAUAAAACGUCCAUAAACACGGUUACAUAUAAAAAUACAGCAAACAAAUAAACAAUACUAAAUAAUUUUUUCUUUUGCUUGUAAUAUCAUUUUUUUUACAGAUAAAUGAUGAUAUUUAUUCUGACAUACAAAGUAAUUAUAUAUAUAUAUUUUUUUUUUUUUACAUCAAGUGCAGUCUUAUAAGUCUAAAUUUAAAUGGUUUUUAUUAUUUAUACCAUGUAUAGCUUGUUUAUUCUACUUUAUUUAAUUUAUAUAUAUAGAUAUAUCAAAAGAAAAGUCCGAUAUAGAAACAGAACUAAAUCUAAAUAAAAUUGACAGUGUACCUUUGAUAAACUCUAAAUCAAAUAAGAGCUUUAUUGACAGCCAUAAAAAGGCGUUAGAAAAUUUCCAAAAGGAUGAUGCAAAUUUUGAAUGUACAUAUAAUUGUAAAAGCGAAAAAGGACAAAAAAAUUCAAACUUAAGUACAAAAAUUAAUGAUUUAAAUAUUCAAGAAUGUCAACUGGUGAGCACAUUGCUUAAUGCCUAAUACGGAAUCGUUACAUGGAAAUUUCCCUCCUCUCUUUUAUAAACUAAGUUGUGAUCAUGUUUUUCAUUUAAUGUGCAUCUAUGAAACUGUUAUACGAAGGGAAUGUAGAAAGACUUGUUGUAUUUGUCAUACUGAGUUGAGUGAAGAAGAUAAAAAUGAAAUUGUAAGUAAAGUUAAAUGGGAGAAAAAAGAAAAUGAAAAAAAAAGCAAACUUUUAUUUAAAGUAAUGAAGUUACAAGCCGAAAAGAAAGAUUAAAAAUAAACAAAUAAUUAAAUAAGAAACA
RNAcentral lists this long non-coding RNA (1239 nucleotides) under Piliocolobus tephrosceles (Ugandan red Colobus). RNAcentral's name for it is "lncRNA (ENSPTEG00000008994.1)". Lineage: Eukaryota; Metazoa; Chordata; Mammalia; Primates; Cercopithecidae. The record is from RNAcentral.